UUCGGGAGUUACAAACAAUCUAUAUCGCAGGAGGAAGUUUUUGGAUACGCAGAGAAGCAUUUACCUAAAAAAGAUGCAGAGAUUCAUCGCUAAAAGGCUUCUCUCCGGAAGAAAUUCCAAUUCCCUUCCGUCUCCGGCUUGCUGCUUCUCUCAGCUCGCCCAGAAGGAGGACAAUGACGUUCUUAUCCCCAAAAUGCCUCCUUUUGAUUACAGUCCUCCGCCGUAUACCGGUCCCUCCGCCAACGAGAUCAUGGCCAAGCGAAAAGAGUUUCUCAGCCCCUCCUUGUUCCACUUCUACAAAAACCCCCUGAACGUUGUGGAUGGGAGGAUGCAAUACCUGUUCGAUGAGAACGGGCGUAGAUACCUCGACGCUUUUGGUGGAAUUGCUACGGUCUGCUGCGGGCACUGCCAUCCAGAUAUUGUUGAGUCAAUAGUCAACCAGAUCAAGCGCUUACAACACUCCACUGUCCUCUACCUCAACCACGCCAUCGCUGAUUUUGCCGAGGCACUAGCCUCGAAGAUGCCCGGCAAUCUUAAGGUGGUGUUUUUCACAAAUUCUGGCACAGAAGCGAAUGAGUUGGCCAUGAUGAUUGCAAGACUAUACACAGGGUCUAAUGACAUAAUAUCAUUGCGGAAUGCAUACCAUGGGAAUGCUGCAGGGACGAUGGGUGCCACUGCACAGUCCAUCUGGAAAUUCAAUGUCAUACAGAGUGGAGUUUUCAUUUGAUCAAUUUUGUUUGGUGUGUAUUCCUCUGGAAGAGAAAAUACCCAAAAGAGGCG
This 780-nucleotide unclassified non-coding RNA is filed under the name Hevea brasiliensis (rubber tree). Lineage: Eukaryota; Viridiplantae; Streptophyta; Magnoliopsida; Malpighiales; Euphorbiaceae. The record is from RNAcentral.